GACGAACGCUGGCGGCGUGCUUAACACAUGCAAGUCGAACGGAAAGGCCCUGCUUUUGUGGGGUGCUCGAGUGGCGAACGGGUGAGUAACACGCGAGUAACCUGCCCUUGACUUUGGGAUAACUUCAGGAAACUGGGGCUAAUACCGGAUAGGAGCUCCUGCUGCAUGGUGGGGGUUGGAAAGUUUCGGCGGUUGGGGAUGGACUCGCGGCUUAUCAGCUUGUUGGUGGGGUAGUGGCUUACCAAGGCUUUGACGGGUAGCCGGCCUGAGAGGGUGACCGGCCACAUUGGGACUGCGAUACGGCCCAGACUCCUACGGGAGGCAGCAGUGGGGAAUAUUGCACAAUGGGCGGAAGCCUGAUGCAGCAACGCCGCGUGCGGGAUGACGGCCUUCGGGUUGUAAACCGCUUUCGCCUGUGACGAAGCGUGAGUGACGGUAAUGGGUAAAGAAGCACCGGCUAACUACGUG
This 468-nucleotide ribosomal RNA is filed under the name uncultured bacterium. RNAcentral describes it as "partial 16S ribosomal RNA". It matches the Rfam family "Bacterial small subunit ribosomal RNA", at positions 28 to 507 of the family's 1533-position model. The record is from RNAcentral.